GGAGGUUAGUGCAAUGGCAUAAGCCAGCUUGACUGCGAGCGUGACGGCGCGAGCAGGUGCGAAAGCAGGUCAUAGUGAUCCGGUGGUUCUGAAUGGAAGGGCCAUCGCUCAACGGAUAAAAGGUACUCCGGGGAUAACAGGCUGAUACCGCCCAAGAGUUCAUAUCGACGGCGGUGUUUGGCACCUCGAUGUCGGCUCAUCACAUCCUGGGGCUGAAGUAGGUCCCAAGGGUAUGGCUGUUCGCCAUUUAAAGUGGUACGCGAGCUGGGUUUAGAACGUCGUGAGACAGUUCGGUCCCUAUCUGCCGUGGGCGCUGGAGAACUGAGGGGGGCUGCUCCUAGUACGAGAGGACCGGAGUGGACGCAUCACUGGUGUUCGGGUUGUCAUGCCAAUGGCACUGCCCGGUAGCUAAAUGCGGAAGAGAUAAGUGCUGAAAGCAUCUAAGCACGAAACUUGCCCCGAGAUGAGUUCUCCCUGACUCCUUGAGAGUCCUGAAGGAACGUUGAAGACGACGACGUUGAUAGGCCGGGUGUGUAAGCGCAGCGAUGCGUUGAGCUAACCGGUACUAAUGAACCGUGAGGCUUAACCUUACAACGCCGAAGGUGUUU
Molecule: ribosomal RNA, 608 nt
Filed under: Escherichia coli
Lineage: Bacteria; Pseudomonadati; Pseudomonadota; Gammaproteobacteria; Enterobacterales; Enterobacteriaceae
Description: partial 23S ribosomal RNA
Rfam family: Bacterial large subunit ribosomal RNA
Source: RNAcentral